GUAAUGAUUAUGUUUUACUGACGCUGAUUGCCAUUGCAAAAGGUUUAUGGGGGGUCCUGGUGGCGGGCGAGCCCGCCCAGGAAACAAGAAGUACGCAAAAGACACGGGUGAAUAAUUCAGCAGGGCCAGUCCUCCCGGGAGAGAGCCAGCCCGCCUUGUUAUUGUGUAAUGAUCCCUCCGCAGGUUCACCUACGGAGA
RNAcentral lists this unclassified non-coding RNA (198 nucleotides) under uncultured fungus. Its description in RNAcentral is "sequence contains ITS1". Lineage: Eukaryota; Fungi. The record is from RNAcentral.